This 638-nucleotide ribosomal RNA is filed under the name uncultured bacterium. Its description in RNAcentral is "bacterial SSU rRNA". It matches the Rfam family "Bacterial small subunit ribosomal RNA", at positions 96 to 731 of the family's 1533-position model. The record is from RNAcentral.
CGGCGCACGGGUGAGUAACGCGUAUCCAACCUUUCCGUACACUCAGGGAUAGCCUUUCGAAAGAAAGAUUAAUACCUGAUGGUAUGAUGAGAUUGCAUGAUAGCAUCAUUAAAGAUUUAUCGGUGUACGAUGGGGAUGCGUUCCAUUAGGUAGUAGGCGGGGUAACGGCCCACCUAGCCAACGAUGGAUAGGGGUUCUGAGAGGAAGGUCCCCCACAUUGGAACUGAGACACGGUCCAAACUCCUACGGGAGGCAGCAGUGAGGAAUAUUGGUCAAUGGACGAGAGUCUGAACCAGCCAAGUAGCGUGAAGGAUGAAGGUCCUACGGAUUGUAAACUUCUUUUAUAAGGGAAUAAACCCUCCCACGUGUGGGAGCUUGUAUGUACCUUAUGAAUAAGCAUCGGCUAACUCCGUGCCAGCAGCCGCGGUAAUACGGAGGAUGCGAGCGUUAUCCGGAUUUAUUGGGUUUAAAGGGAGCGCAGACGGGUCGUUAAGUCAGCUGUGAAAGUUUGGGGCUCAACCUUAAAAUUGCAGUUGAUACUGGCGUCCUUGAGUGCGGUUGAGGUGUGCGGAAUUCGUGGUGUAGCGGUGAAAUGCUUAGAUAUCACGAAGAACUCCGAUUGCGAAGGCAGCACACUA